GGGGGCGUACCGGUUUCGACGGGGGUCCUGAAGCAUGAUAAGCGGGUAGCGGUGAGGGCCGCUAUAAAACCUCAAACUUUAAAAUUAAACGCUAAUAAUAACGAAUUAGUAGCUGCCUAACUUAGGCGGUCGUCCUCCCUUUGAAUACCACGGCUUAGGACAGGGCGUCAAUUAGUGGUGAACGUGCGUAUGGUAAGCUUUGCCCAUACCAUGAACAAUGAAGCUACUGAACCUGCCAGCUUGCCUGUGAGCUUGCAGGGAAGGGAAAUUUGAUCAUAGGCUGCACCCGGAGAAAGUUGUGUGGACGGUUUUUCGGACAGGAGUUCGACUCUCCUCGCCUCCACCA
RNAcentral lists this transfer-messenger RNA (346 nucleotides) under Clostridia. RNAcentral describes it as "HGM11507 sp900761005 Standard tmRNA". It matches the Rfam family "transfer-messenger RNA". Rfam says of the family: Bacterial tmRNA, also known as 10Sa RNA or SsrA, is named for its dual tRNA and mRNA-like properties. Its role is to liberate the mRNA from a stalled ribosome. To accomplish this part of the tmRNA is used as a reading frame that ends in a translation stop signal. RNAcentral also lists the same sequence under 2 other names. The record is from RNAcentral. Lineage: Bacteria; Bacillati; Bacillota.